CGCCGAGCUCAGCCCGGAGCUCCCUGCCCCGGCCGCUAGGGGCGCCGGGGAGAGCUGCCUGGGAGCGGACUGCGCCGCCCGGGCCCCCAACGGCACCAGCCGGGACUGCAAGGGCGUUGAAUGCAAACUGCCCCUGCGGCUCCGCCACAGGUCCCGGCUGGGCAGCGGGGCUCGGUGCGCCCAGCAGGGAGAGGCCUGCCCGGAGCCUGCCCUGCUCAGAGAGGCGGAGCGAGCCGCCCAGUUCCUCGCGGAAGACUUCGCCUACCCGGCCUCGGAGCUGGGCGUGCAGCUCACCUGCGACCUCAGCCCAGGAGAAAAUGAAGUUCCAUCUGAAGAUGCACUAGUAUUACAACUGCAGCUUGCAAAAGGCCAAGAUAAAUUUGUUGAAAUGUUAAAAAGCCAACAGAAGAUAAUUGUGGAUUUGCAACAAAAACUUGCUGAACAACAGAGCACGUUAGUUAGCCAGCAACGAGAAAUUCUUGAACAACAAAGAAAAAUGUAUGAGCAAAUGCAUCUGAUAAAAGUCCAGUAUGGCAUGCUUUUUGACACAGUGAAACAAAUGUCAUUCCAGAGUUUGCAUGAGGAUAUUCAACAUUAUUUUGAAACCCAGCUUCAAGGACUUCAGAAUCAGGUCAGAAGUCAUCUCCAGAAGUCACACUCUGUACAGAAAGUAGAAGUUGAUGCAAAAGUGAUUGAUGUUAGGGAGUCUUUGCUGGACUGCGGCCUUUGUAAAAGUGAUGAAUUUUGCAAUUUCCAAAAGACACCAUCUCAGUGUGAAAAAUGCACCUUGUGCCCUGCUGGUUUUUUCCAAAUGUCUGAAUGUUCUGCAAACGCUGAUCGGAUUUGCCAGGACAGAGACGAAUGCAUUGAAUCUCCCAGCAUUUGUGGUGAGAGAAUAAAAUGCCUGAAUACUCCAGGUGGCUUCCGAUGCCUUGGAAUUGCUGAAAAAGAUGCAGCCUUGGGACUGUGUGGAGAGGAUUAUUUCUUUAAUAAAGAAAUGCAGGAAUGCCAGGCUUGUUCAGAGUGUGAAGAUGGAAUAGUAGCUUUCCCUUGCUCCCCAGUUGCUGACACUGUUUGUUCAGGAGCCAGCGAGAACAAGCUUUCUGAAUCGUGGGCUGCAAACGUUAUUUUACCCUCGGCAAAGUCUGGCACUUCUCAGAUCUACCCUGGUUUAAACUUGAAGAUAAAGGGAAAGCUUCACUGUGAAGUUGUAACUGUUGAAGAUAACAGCCUGGUAUUCAGGCAACAUGGUUUGAUGUGGACUGACCUCAAUUUUGCUGUAAAGCACAACUGCAGAAACUUUCUCCAGCUGUCCUUGAAAUUAAAUGACACUGACGAAGGCUGUGAACUAAGUGGUGUUCGUAUCGAACAACCAGAAGGAAAAUAUUUUCAGAGCACCAGUUUAAGCAGCGCGGCAGAAGUGGAACCAAGCCAAACUCUCUCUCUGUUUCUGAAGAGUCCAAAUCAAUUCUGCAACCAAAGUAAAGACUUAAAUAUUUAUGACCUUAAUACUCCUCUCAGUUUGUUUUGGUUGUCCCAUGAUACAGGUGCAGUGGCUAUGAGUGCACAGAUGUCAACUGCAAUGCACUAUCAAACUAACUAUCGACCUACUUUUAAAGUUAUUUCCAUUUCUGACCCUUACAUGCUAAGUUUGUCUCACGAUGGCAGAGCUAUAAAGUUCACUGAAACAGGUGUCAUAAAAUUUGUUUUUCACCAAGCACUCUAUUCCAUGGGCCAUACAUGUGUUCGUGAAGGCUUUUCCUUGGUUUCUUAUAUCAAUAGGAAUGGUACUAACCAAGAAUUAAUGAACAUGUAUAAAUCUGGUGUAAAUUACAGAGACACAUCAAUAUCUGCUUCUGGGGCCACAAAAGUCAACAGUGGGGAUCUGCUUAGCUUUGAGAUCCUUUCUCCAGCUCAAUGUAACGUUCGAUAUUUUGGAGACAGCUCUGGAAUUAGUAUGCUUAGCCUCAUCUGGAUCCCAUCUGCAGUUUCCACUGCCAUCUCAGCCACAGUCUCUGUUACACGACUGCCUACAGGAGCUGUCAGAAACAAAUUACUGGAUUUCACCCAGGUCUCAGCCAGUGAGAAACAAAUACAGCUUGUUUCUUCUGGAGAACUUGCUCAGAAGUACUUCAGAUUUACUGAAAGGGGAGUUGCUAGCAUUGCUUUUAAUUUAAAGCUGAUCCACUCAUGUAAUGUACUUAAAGUGACUCUAAAUCAUUUGAUCAAUGAUCAGAUGCAACCCACAGCAAUUGGCCAGCAAAUUGGAGGUCAGAUGCCUGAGGGAAGUAUAUGGACCAGUGUGUCCCUCCGCUCUUCUUUCGAAGUGCAUAAUGGUACAUUGAUAUCCAUUUCUCUUGACUGUGUUCGUGGAAGAAUCAAUCAGAUUGCUCAUGAACGUAGCACCAGCAUAUCUAUUUUAUGGAUUUCAUCUUAGUUACUUUCGAGUGAAGUAAGCCCGAAUGGACAGUUUGCAAUGGGUUUUGAAUUUUGUCAUACUACGUAUGUUCAGAACCAUAGAUUGUGUGAACAUGUACAGAACAUUGCAUUAAAACAUUCUUACCAUUUGGAACAUUUUAAAAAUAAUCUUUGGUUGGAUUAUCAUCUAAACAAAAGUAAUGGUUCUGCUUUUCCAAAGAGAUUGCUCUGUUAACAUCUUAGAUUCUAGUGUCAGGAGUCCAGAUCAGGCUCUACUUCUUACAAAGCAUUCUCUUGAACUCAGAUUUUGCAGGACCUACAAAAAUAUGAUGGAGUUCUGGAUGGAGGUCACAAUGUUAUUGGAGCUGGGGAGGUUGAGCUACAGCUACCCUUAUUUCUGCACUGCUGCUGGUGGUGGCGGCAGCUUUGCCUUCAGAGCUGGGCACCUGGAGAGUGGUGGCUGCUGGCUGGGAUCCCAGCUCGAAAGGCAGCGCCGCUGCCAGCAGCACAGAAGUAAGGGUGGCAUGGUAUGGUAUUGUCACCCUUGCUUCUGCACUGCUGCUGGUGAGGCUGCCUUCAAAUCGGUGUAAUGUUAACUCUAAUAUCAGAAUUCUGUACACUGGACACUUCAAGAGCAAAAUCCAUUUAUAAACAACAUUUUGUUCCAAUGCCGUGGAGUCCUUGCCCACACAGAGUGGUACUUUUCUCUGUGAGUAUUUCCAGUGCAGGUAAUUGCAAAGUAAGGUACUGCGCAGUAUGAAUAAACGUGGCAGAAUCUGGCCCA
Gopherus agassizii (Agassiz's desert tortoise) is the source of this 3202-nucleotide long non-coding RNA. NCBI's taxonomy places the organism in Eukaryota, Metazoa, Chordata, Testudines, Testudinidae. The record is from Ensembl.